Molecule: ribosomal RNA, 500 nt
Filed under: uncultured bacterium
Lineage: Bacteria
Description: bacterial SSU rRNA
Rfam family: Bacterial small subunit ribosomal RNA
Source: RNAcentral
UGAACGCUGGCGGCGUGCUUAACACAUGCAAGUCGAACGAGAAAGUCUUUGCUUGCAAAGACGAGUAGAGUGGCGCACGGGUGAGUAACACGUAGAUAAUCUGCCUUCAAAUUUGGGAUAACUAUUCGAAAGGAUAGCUAAUACCGGAUAAAGUUUAUCAACCUAAGUUGAUUUAUGAAAGAUUGCCUCUUCUUGAAAGCAAUUGUUUGGAGAUGAGUCUGCGCACCAUUAGCUAGUUGGUGGGGUAAUGGCCUACCAAGGCAUCGAUGGUUAGCUGGUCUGAGAGGAUGAUCAGCCACACUGGAACUGAAACACGGUCCAGACUCCUACGGGAGGCAGCAGUGAGGAAUUUUGCGCAAUGGGGGUAACCCUGACGCAGCAACGCCGCGUGAGUGAAGAAGGCCUUUGGGUCGUAAAGCUCUGUCAACUGGGAAGAAGUUAUAAUUAUCCAAUAGGUAGUUAUAUUGACGGUACCAGUGGAGGAAGCGCCGGCUAACUCC